GACGAACGCUGGCGGCGUGCUUAACACAUGCAAGUCGAACGGAAAGGCCCUGCUUUUGUGGGGUGCUCGAGUGGCGAACGGGUGAGUAACACGUGAGUAACCUGCCCUUGACUUUGGGAUAACUUCAGGAAACUGGGGCUAAUACCGGAUAGGAGCUCCUGCUGCAUGGUGGGGGUUGGAAAGUUUCGGCGGUUGGGGAUGGACUCGCGGCUUAUCAGCUUGUUGGUGGGGUAGUGGCUUACCAAGGCUUUGACGGGUAGCCGGCCUGAGAGGGUGACCGGCCACAUUGGGACUGAGAUACGGCCCAGACUCCUACGGGAGGCAGCAGUGGGGAAUAGUGCACAAUGGGCGGAAGCCUGAUGCAGCAACGCCGCGUGCGGGAUGACGGCCUUCGGGUUGUAAACCGCUUUCGCCUGUGACGAAGCGUGAGUGGCGGUAAUGGGUAAAGAAGCACCGGCUAACUACGUG
This 468-nucleotide ribosomal RNA is filed under the name uncultured bacterium. Its description in RNAcentral is "partial 16S ribosomal RNA". It matches the Rfam family "Bacterial small subunit ribosomal RNA", at positions 28 to 507 of the family's 1533-position model. The record is from RNAcentral.